UAAAUUGAGAGUUUGAUCCUGGCUCAGGAUGAACGCUGGCGGCGUGCUUAACACAUGCAAGUCGAGCGA
This 69-nucleotide ribosomal RNA is filed under the name Clostridium perfringens. RNAcentral describes it as "partial 16S ribosomal RNA". It matches the Rfam family "Bacterial small subunit ribosomal RNA", at positions 1 to 69 of the family's 1533-position model. The record is from RNAcentral. Lineage: Bacteria; Bacillati; Bacillota; Clostridia; Eubacteriales; Clostridiaceae.